This 497-nucleotide ribosomal RNA is filed under the name uncultured bacterium. Its description in RNAcentral is "partial 16S ribosomal RNA". It matches the Rfam family "Bacterial small subunit ribosomal RNA", at positions 28 to 507 of the family's 1533-position model. The record is from RNAcentral.
GAUGAACGCUGGCGGCGUGCCUAAUACAUGCAAGUCGAGCGAACAGACGAGGAGCUUGCUCCUCUGACGUUAGCGGCGGACGGGUGAGUAACACGUGGAUAACCUACCUAUAAGACUGGGAUAACUUCGGGAAACCGGAGCUAAUACCGGAUAAUAUAUUGAACCGCAUGGUUCAAUAGUGAAAGACGGUUUUGCUGUCACUUAUAGAUGGAUCCGCGCCGCAUUAGCUAGUUGGUAAGGUAACGGCUUACCAAGGCAACGAUGCGUAGCCGACCUGAGAGGGGGAUCGGCCACACUGGAACUGGGCCACGGUCCAGACUCCUACGGGAGGCAGCAGUAGGGAAUCUUCCGCAGUGGGCGAAAGCUUGACGGAGCAACGCCGCGUGAGUGAUGAAGGUCUUCGGAUCGUAAAACUCUGUUAUUAGGGAAGAACAAAUGUGUAAGUAACUAUGCACGUCUUGACGGUACCUAAUCAGAAAGCCACGGCUAACUACGUG